GGCACUUUGGCGGAGUGGUUAACGCGAUGCCCUGCUAUUUUACAAAAGAAGCGUCAUAUUUCCUUCGGGAGGUGACAGUUAUCUAAGGAAUAGUGUUAGGCAUUUCCUUCGGGAGCGAGUGUUCGAAUCACUCAGGUGUCG
This 141-nucleotide transfer RNA is filed under the name Pestalotiopsis fici W106-1. It matches the Rfam family "tRNA". Rfam says of the family: Transfer RNA (tRNA) molecules are approximately 80 nucleotides in length. Their secondary structure includes four short double-helical elements and three loops (D, anti-codon, and T loops). Further hydrogen bonds mediate the characteristic L-shaped molecular structure. tRNAs have two regions of fundamental functional importance: the anti-codon, which is responsible for specific mRNA codon recognition, and the 3' end, to which the tRNAs corresponding amino acid is attached (by aminoacyl-tRNA synthetases). tRNAs cope with the degeneracy of the genetic code in two manners: having more than one tRNA (with a specific anti-codon) for a particular amino acid; and 'wobble' base-pairing, i.e. permitting non-standard base-pairing at the 3rd anti-codon position. The record is from Rfam by way of RNAcentral. Lineage: Eukaryota; Fungi; Ascomycota; Sordariomycetes; Amphisphaeriales; Sporocadaceae.